GGGGGCGAACUGGAUUCGACCGGGCGAGUGAAAUACAAGCUGCAUGUCGUGGUUAGUCAGCGGGCCACGUUAAAAGCCGACUAUAAAUUUCAAUUGCCGAACCUAAAUUGGCAAUGGCUGCUUAAGAAAAAGCAACCCUGAAAUCGAUUCUUUGCCGAAGAGAUGAAACUUUCAGACGAUAAUUUCGGAUCGUUUCUCACCAUGUCGAACACGUGAGAGAUUAAAAACUGUUUUCGAAUCGCCGGAGAAGAACCAAAGUCGUUGAGGGUCGGAUCCGGUUAAACAAAGAAACAGACGACUAAACAUGUAGACGCUUUUACGGAUCAGUCGCGGGACGCGGGUUCAAUCCCCGCCGCCUCCACUA
RNAcentral lists this transfer-messenger RNA (364 nucleotides) under Planctomycetia bacterium. It matches the Rfam family "transfer-messenger RNA". Rfam says of the family: Bacterial tmRNA, also known as 10Sa RNA or SsrA, is named for its dual tRNA and mRNA-like properties. Its role is to liberate the mRNA from a stalled ribosome. The record is from RNAcentral. Lineage: Bacteria; Pseudomonadati; Planctomycetota; Planctomycetia.